CUCCGGCUCCAGCUCCGCCGCCCUGCUGUUCUCGCAGGAGCGGAGCCGCGCACCCCGCCCGCCGCCUGGCGUCGGCCCCGCCCCUCGUGGCUCCGCCCCGCAGCCCCGCCCUCCCUUGGCUCCGCCCCUCGCACCUGCCGCUGGGUCUACACACAGCUGCCGGCUCUGCCAGAACCCGCCCAGCUCGGACCGGUGGUACCUCCGCGCCUUUCCCCCUGCGUCCGAGCGUUGUCCCCGCUCCGUCUCCCUCACCGCCACUCAGUCCCCAGGACCCGAAAACCUCCCAAAUCUCGUCCCCCGCCUCCGCCCCAACCUGACCCUCACUCUCUAUCUAAGCUGGGGGCGCAUUCCCGUCGGCCCUCUCCACAGUUUCCUCCUUUUCAAUCCGUCUUUCUCAUUCUUUUUCCUUUUUUUUUCUGAUCACUAUUUCUCUUCGUCCCCUUUUCUCUGACCUGUCAAACCCACGUGUCCAGACAAACCCGCAGUUACUCCGAGCACAAGCUGCAGACUUAGCCCUCGGUUCUGUUGGAAGGUGUCACCGCCCCAGGAAAGACACUUCGCGGCUUCAUGAGAGCCAGAGGUCACUGUGGGUCUGGACCCCUCACAGGCCACCUGACUUCCCUGGAAUACUUUGAGGCCCAUUCAAUUCAACAAGUGUGUUGGGCGGCUGGUGUUUACCAACACCGUGUCAGGGACGGGAGCACACGCAGCCCGAGGCACAGAGCCUGCCCUGAAGAGCGAACAGCUGGGAAGAAAUGAGGGCAGAAUUACUCAAGGACAACCUAAGCAUCCGAUAGAGGCAAAUUAUUAACAACAACAACAACAAAUAUCUACCUCCUGAGUGUGCUGUCCUUGUUUGAAACAAAAUUCUUGGCAGAUCCAAUGGCUUUUCUAAUCACUCCAAGAAAAUGAAUGAAUAGUUCUUUUAUUGGGCCUUAAAAAAUAUAUAAUCCAUUCUACAAAUUGCUCAACCCCAGUUCAGGUCAGAGUGACAUUAAAAACUCUGAAUCACAGUUGUUAGGAAUAUGCAAAUAGAAACCAUAAGAUAAUGCUACAUUACUGAAUGGAAUGAUUUAAAAGGACACUGACAAUAUCAAAUGCUGACAAGGAUGAGGAGCAACUGGAACUCUCUCAUACGUUGUUGGUGGGAAUGCAAAAUGGAAAUACUUCUUUGGAAAAUAGUCUGGUGGUUUCUUAAAAAGUUAAAUAUAUAUUUAUUAUGCAA
Marmota monax (woodchuck) is the source of this 1225-nucleotide long non-coding RNA. RefSeq lists it as uncharacterized. Lineage: Eukaryota; Metazoa; Chordata; Mammalia; Rodentia; Sciuridae. The record is from RefSeq and is a predicted model, not a curated record. The transcript is spliced from 2 exons.